ACCAGCUGUUGCCGCAGGGUUAGACCUGAUGGUGUGGUGGUUGCAGUUUGUGUCGCUGCCAGUGCUUCAUACAACUGCCAAAAGCGUCCCAGGAACUCAUCGUCGCUGGUCAAGCACAUGUAAGCCACUCCACUGAAUCCCAUCAGCAGGCAUCCGGUCCAGACAUGUAGAAGCCUUGCCUUUCGCCGUGGAUGCGCAUCGCAUGGUAAGGGCAGUCCGUGCAUGCCCAUCAGCUGAUAGCAGCGCAGGCUAAAGUGCAGCACCUGGUCAAUGCGGUAAUCUCUCAUUGUUUGACUUCGGCUCCAACAGCGAUGACCCUAUCGCUCCAAACAUCCGUGGUCACGUGGCGUGAGAACGAACUAACUUCCUGCUUCAUUGCACAUUCGCAUGGGUGAGGACGGAGUGACUAAUAAUAUUGAUUGCCUUCUUCAUUCAUGCAGAUAACUUAAUGGACAUAUAUGCAUUUUAACGUCGACUUGGCCAACAUGUGCUCGCCACUGUAUAUAGAAAAUACAUACGUAUGUAUUUACAUAUAUGUACAUAUGUAUAUGUGCAUGCAUUUUUAUAUACAUAUAUAUAUAUAUCAUAUAUCAUAUAUCAUUUUGUAAUUGUUGUAUCUAUAGAGCAGAUCGAUCAAUACUCAGUUAAUUGUUCCGUUUUGAAGCUAAUCGUAAAUCCAUACCAUAUGCACACAUAUUUCAUAUUUGAGUUUCAAGAUUAUGUACUUAUAUGUAGAUACACUAAGUAAGCAAGAACUUCUAUCUCCAUUUACCGAUAUACCAUAUCGAAUAUAAGUCAAUAUAAAUAUACAUACAUAUGUACAUACAUAUAUAAGACAUACUCAUCGACACUCUCAUUGAGCCAAACAUAAUUAAUUAAAAUGAAAGAGUAAAGUGUAGAGUAAUAUUUCAA
Long non-coding RNA from Drosophila mojavensis, 912 nucleotides. RefSeq lists it as uncharacterized. The record is from RefSeq and is a predicted model, not a curated record. Lineage: Eukaryota; Metazoa; Arthropoda; Insecta; Diptera; Drosophilidae. The transcript has 3 exons.